UGCGUAGGCGGCGCGGAAAGUUGGGUGUGAAAUACCUCGGCUCAACCGAGGAACUGCGCCCAAAACUACCGUGCUCGAGGGAGAUAGAGGUGAGCGGAACUUAGGGUGGAGCGGUGAAAUGCGUUGAUAUCCUAAGGAACACCGGUGGCGAAAGCGGCUCACUGGAUCUCUUCUGACGCCGAGGCACGAAAGCUAGGGGAGCGAACG
Molecule: ribosomal RNA, 207 nt
Filed under: uncultured bacterium
Lineage: Bacteria
Description: partial 16S ribosomal RNA
Rfam family: Bacterial small subunit ribosomal RNA
Source: RNAcentral